Molecule: non-coding RNA, 564 nt
Organism: Chrysemys picta bellii (western painted turtle)
Lineage: Eukaryota; Metazoa; Chordata; Testudines; Emydidae
Source: RefSeq, a predicted model, not a curated record
CCUGGUCUAGGAGAUAGGGGAAGGUAGAGAACGGGGAAAGGUCAUUGUGUAGGGAAUGUCCCCAGCCAUCAGAAUUGACCAGCCCUGGACCAAAGGAUGGAGAGAGGCCGAGACGGGAAAACGAUGCUAGACGAACCCCAUGCAUCACAGUCUGUUACCCUGGGAGCAGAAAGUGGGGAAAGGAGAGAGGAGAAUAAACCAUCCCUCAUUCAGACUGGUCCAGAAGCAACCCUGCAGACCCACCUCCUUGUAUUUGAGGCUGAGAAAUCCAGAAAAGAAAACCGUGUUGUGUUUUUAGAAACUAGAAAGGAACUCUUCCCGAAGCCCACAUACAAAUGAACUUUUAAUUUGCUCCUUUCAUAUUUAAGGGGACAGAAUAAAAACUGGUCCCAGUUCCCAGGGAAAUCAUGUCUUGUUUAUACUAAUCUGGAAUAUAGCUGGGGAUGGGCACUAUCUAAAAUCAAAUUUUGCCUACUACAAAUCUGUAAAAUGCAAAAGGUUGGUUUAUAGAAUUUUCUAUAUCGUUUCAUUAUUUGUUUUGGAUAAAGAAAAUAUUAAAAAUCA